GCUUGUCUCAAAGAUUAAGCCAUGCAUGUCUAAGUAUAAACGACUUUAUACUGUGAAACUGCGAAUGGCUCAUUAUAUCAGUUAUAGUUUAUUUGAUGGUCCUUGCUACUUGGAUAACCGUAGUAAUUCUAGAGCUAAUACAUGCGCAAAUACCCAACUGCUUGUCGGACGGGUAGCAUUUAUUAGAUUGAAACCAAUGCAGGGCAACCUGGAAUAUGGUGAUUCAUAAUAACUCGCGGAUCGGUUUACCGAUGCAUCAUUCAAGUUUCUGCCCUAUCAGCUUUGGAUGGUAGGGUAUUGGCCUACCAUGGCUUUAACGGGUAACGGAGAAUUAGGGUUCGAUUCCGGAGAGGGAGCCUGAGAAAUGGCUACCACAUCCAAGGAAGGCAGCAGG
RNAcentral lists this ribosomal RNA (394 nucleotides) under Ochromonas tuberculata. Its description in RNAcentral is "partial small subunit ribosomal RNA". It matches the Rfam family "Eukaryotic small subunit ribosomal RNA", at positions 30 to 432 of the family's 1831-position model. The record is from RNAcentral. Lineage: Eukaryota; Chrysophyceae; Chromulinales; Chromulinaceae.